RNAcentral lists this ribosomal RNA (261 nucleotides) under uncultured bacterium. Its description in RNAcentral is "partial 16S ribosomal RNA". It matches the Rfam family "Bacterial small subunit ribosomal RNA", at positions 29 to 272 of the family's 1533-position model. The record is from RNAcentral.
AGCGAACGCUGGCGGCGUGCCUAACACAUGCAAGUCGAGCGAAGGCAUGAGUGUAGCAAUACACUUAUGUACUUAGCGGCGGACGGGUGAGUAACACGUGGAUAAUCUGCCCUGAGGACCGGGACAACUCUUGGAAACGGGAGCUAAUACCGGAUGUGACCACGAUGCUUGAGGGCAUUGGGGUAAAAGGCGGCCUGCAAGGGCUGUUGCUUCGGGAUGAGUCACGACCCAUCAGGUAGUUGGGGGGUAAGAGCCACCAAG